UUCCCUGCAAAAAGUUGUCGAUGCUUGAGGA
Molecule: non-coding RNA, 31 nt
Filed under: Homo sapiens (human)
Lineage: Eukaryota; Metazoa; Chordata; Mammalia; Primates; Hominidae
Source: RNAcentral